UUAUUUCGGCGACUCGUAAGCG
This 22-nucleotide unclassified non-coding RNA is filed under the name Chlamydomonas reinhardtii. RNAcentral describes it as "small RNA Cre_3773". Lineage: Eukaryota; Viridiplantae; Chlorophyta; Chlorophyceae; Chlamydomonadales; Chlamydomonadaceae. The record is from RNAcentral.